This is a long non-coding RNA of Phycodurus eques (leafy seadragon), 1305 nucleotides long. RefSeq lists it as uncharacterized. The transcript has 3 exons. NCBI's taxonomy places the organism in Eukaryota, Metazoa, Chordata, Actinopteri, Syngnathiformes, Syngnathidae. The record is from RefSeq and is a predicted model, not a curated record.
AGUGUGAGCUGCUGCGUGGACGCACGAGAGCACGUGGAAGUCACGUCGAGAGUUUUUGACGACUAAACAAACAAAAAAGGACUAGUUUUCAUUUUUGGGGGGGUGUCUUUGUUCACACAAGGCGACGGAUGAGAAGUUCCAGUGUCACGGAUUCCGAGUUUCCAGGAUGUGUGGACGACACGAGUCGCACUGGACAAACAAUGGCGCGCGAUUCUUUCGUCAGCGCAACUCAAGCGUGGAGCCGCUGACCUACACAAAGUGCACUUAUCGAUUAUUUUGUUGAAAGCCCUACAAAAAUGGCUGGACGUCCUAGCCUAGGGGAACGUGCCCCGCUAGCGGCACCUUACGAAGUUUGGAGAUGGCGGAGGACCGUUAAAGGGAGACAUGCUCAAGUUGACGCUCAGACGAUCAAGAAUUGUCAUGCAAAACUCAUCGCUACAGGAUCUGUGGCUGAUACUCGAAGAACAGGUCGCCCUUCCAAUUGCAGUGACCCAGAGGUCGUGGAAGUUGUUCAAGGGAUGUUUACUCAUAGCCCGAAAAAGUCAAUUGGACAAGCAGCAAGGGAAAGUGGACCCUCCUUUCACCGUGUAGGAACCGCGCUCAAAAAGGAGCCUAAAUGGCGUGCUCGGAAGCCGCACUGCUGUCAAGCGCUCUCUGCUGAAGAUCGCGACAUUCGUAUGGAGUUUGGGGAGGCGAUGAUGGCUUAGUAUGAAGAUUGGUCGGAUCUCUUUUGAAAAUAUCCUCUGGAGCGAUGAAGCGGUGGGUUUGUGAGCCGUCGCAACGUAUUACCUCUGAAAAAAAAUGCGCCAUCGUCCCAAGGUAACGGUAUGGUGUGGAAUGACUUGGGACAGGAUUGUGGGUCCCUUCAUCCUUCGGGAUACCGUGAACGCCGUAAGGUACCUCACCACGCUGAGAGAUGAAAUCUGGCCAGUUAUCAGUCCUUGGGAGAAUAUUGAAGAUUUAAUUUUCGUGCAAGAUGGCGCUCCCCCACAUUUUGCCAUCGUUGUUCGUGAAUGGCUGAAUGCCCACUUCCCUAGGAGAUGGAUUGGUCGCCGUGGUCCGUAUGAGUGGCCGGCCAGAAGUCCUGACUUAACGCCCUGCAACUUUUUUUCUGUGGGGUUGGUUAAAAGGUUCUACCAAACCAACGACUUUGGAAGAACUUGAAGGGCGAAUACGAGAAGUUAUGUCUUCCAUCCCACCAGAGUUCCUUGUGAAAUCAGUUAAUGCCGUUCCCAGCCGGCUUGAGAAACUGGUGGCUAACGCUGGCGCCCAUAUCCAAUUUGAAAUAAAACUCCAUGCAAUACA